This is a long non-coding RNA of Bradysia coprophila, 190 nucleotides long. The record is from RefSeq and is a predicted model, not a curated record. Lineage: Eukaryota; Metazoa; Arthropoda; Insecta; Diptera; Sciaridae.
UUUGAUCUAAUGGUAGUUUGUAGAGAAUUGACAGACGAUUCUAAUAAAAUUAUCGUCGGGUCGAAAGGUCGUAGCUGUGAGUCAGGGGUGAGGCAUCAAAGACCAAUUUUAUGGUUUUGUCAAUGAGCACCCCAACCGAUUUUUCAUUUUAUUGGCUUAAAAUGAAGGCUAGCACAUCCCAUUUAACAUA